AUUGAACGCUGGCGGCAGGCCUAACACACGCAAGUCGAACGGUAACAGGAAGCAGCUUGCUGCUUUGCUGACGAGUGGCGGACGGGUGAGUAAUGUCUGGGAAACUGCCUGAUGGAGGGGGAUAACUACUGGAAACGGUAGCUAAUACCGCAUAACGUCGCAAGACCAAAGAGGGGGACCUUAUGGCCUCUUGCCAUCGGAUGUGCCCAGAUGGGAUUAGCUAGUAGGUGGGGUAACGGCUCACCUAGGCGACGAUCCCUAGCUGGUCUGAGAGGAUGACCAGCCACACUGGAACUGAGACACGGUCCAGACUCCUACGGGAGGCAGCAGUGGGGAAUAUUGCACAAUGGGCGCAAGCCUGAUGCAGCCAUGCCGCGUGUAUGAAGAAGGCCUUCGGGUUGUAAAGUACUUUCAGCGGGGAGGAAGGGAGUAAAGUUAAUACCUUGGCUCAUUGACGUUACCCGCAGAAGAAGCACCGGCUAACUCCGUG
This 490-nucleotide ribosomal RNA is filed under the name uncultured bacterium. RNAcentral's name for it is "partial 16S ribosomal RNA". It matches the Rfam family "Bacterial small subunit ribosomal RNA", at positions 30 to 507 of the family's 1533-position model. The record is from RNAcentral.